Scleropages formosus (Asian bonytongue) is the source of this 84-nucleotide microRNA precursor. It matches the Rfam family "mir-221 microRNA precursor family". NCBI's taxonomy places the organism in Eukaryota, Metazoa, Chordata, Actinopteri, Osteoglossiformes, Osteoglossidae. The record is from Rfam.
CUCGGCCUGAACCUGGCAUACAAUGUAGAUUCCUGUGUUGUUUGAGCUACAGCUACAUUGUCUGCUGGGUUUCAGGGGGGUCUC